This 497-nucleotide ribosomal RNA is filed under the name uncultured bacterium. RNAcentral describes it as "partial 16S ribosomal RNA". It matches the Rfam family "Bacterial small subunit ribosomal RNA", at positions 28 to 507 of the family's 1533-position model. The record is from RNAcentral.
GAUGAACGCUGGCGGCGUGCCUAAUACAUGCAAGUCGAGCGAACAGACGAGGAGCUUGCUCCUCUGACGUUAGCGGCGGACGGGUGAGUAACACGUGGAUAACCUACCUAUAAGACUGGGAUAACUUCGGGAAACCGGAGCUAAUACCGGAUAAUAUAUUGAACCGCAUGGUUCAAUAGUGAAAGACGGUUUUGCUGUCACUUAUAGAUGGCUCCGCGCCGCAUUAGCUAGUUGGUAAGGUAACGGCUUACCAAGGCAACGAUGCGUAGCCAACCUGAGAGGGUGAUCGGCCACACUGGAGCUGAGACACGGUCCAGACUCCUACGGGAGGCAGCAGUAGGGAAUCUUCCGCAAUGGGCGAAAGCCUGACGGAGCAACGCCGCGUGAGUGAUGAAGGUCUUCGGAUCGUAAAACUCUGUUAUUAGGGAAGAACAAAUGUGUAAGUAACUAUGCACGUCUUGACGGUACCUAAUCAGAAAGCCACGGCUAACUACGUG